Entelurus aequoreus (snake pipefish) is the source of this 798-nucleotide long non-coding RNA. RefSeq lists it as uncharacterized. The record is from RefSeq and is a predicted model, not a curated record. The transcript has 3 exons. Lineage: Eukaryota; Metazoa; Chordata; Actinopteri; Syngnathiformes; Syngnathidae.
UUACGUUCUCGUUCACGCUCCUAGUCCGUGUUUUGAGUAGCAUCCUUUUGGCUAACAAUUCUUGUUUUCAGUGCAGCAUAUUUUUGUCUGCAGUUGAGAAUAAAUCAUUCUUCUCACCUGCAAGCCGCUUCCUGACGUUCCUCUGCAUCUUGGAAAGACGACCUCCGGCAUCUCAAUGCCACGUGUGCGGCACUCAGUGGAAAAAGUUUGGACACCCCUGCUAUACGGCGUCGAAUGGGUUCUGCAAAUUGACAAGUAAACACCGAACCAGCGGGAUUGCUGAUGCAGGACAACUAGGGGAGACGGGGGUCGUCUUGGUCUUGCUUCCGAUUGGUCGGCCGGGGGCGAGUGAAGCGGCACCGGGCCGUCUCGCAGGUCCCUUCCCGGCAAUGGAGGCCGACCCGCAGGCUCGGAGAAACCCGACUUACCCAAACAAUGUCGUGGGAGCCCUUGGAUCCACAAUUCGUCCCUUAUUUACGGCCGCUGCCCACUGCCUUUGUCUUCUGUUUACAAUCACGGCAACAGCAGUUUCUGCAAUUGUAACCACAGCUCCAAAACCAUGGAACCGCAAAGCGUCUAUCUUCCUCAAAGUGGAAUUUUGUGGGAUGAGAUUUUACGAGAAUUGCGGCUCACGACUUAAAACAGCCAUUAAUGGAAACACCUACAAGUCGCAAAUGCGCUUUGUCAAAAUUUUAGAAAUAUCCCUUUUAUUUUGUGAAAAACUGCAAAUAAAAACGCAGCAAGUGUUUGAACAUAGGAAAAUAAAACAGGUGGUUCUUUGGCUUACCACCAGAUAAC